Branchiostoma floridae (Florida lancelet) is the source of this 1755-nucleotide long non-coding RNA. RefSeq lists it as uncharacterized. The record is from RefSeq and is a predicted model, not a curated record. The transcript is spliced from 3 exons. NCBI's taxonomy places the organism in Eukaryota, Metazoa, Chordata, Leptocardii, Amphioxiformes, Branchiostomatidae.
UUAUUUAUUUACAAUAGGAAAAGAGUUGAAAAAAAACUGCUAUAUGGUUGCAUUGACAACCCUAAUACAUUGCUUCGGAAGUGUACAUUCAAGUGGUUUCAAAUUUGUUGAGAAGAUUUAUUUUGUUGAAUAUCACAAACACACGGUACUAACCAGGCUCCUUGUACUCCCGGCACUGAUUUUUUUAAGGGCAGCGAAUUUAAGAAUCCUGGUAGUAAUCAGAUACGACCUAGGGUUCACCCCUCUUUUUACAAUACUUACAUUUAAGUUCAACCCAAAUGGGUCUAAAAGAUACUGACUGUGACCAGUUAAGCAAUUCUCUCAAAGCAUAAUCCUUUGAAUUUUGAAAAAAAAGUGUUGUUUUUUUAAUGAGGCGGUUACAACGAGUGGCCUUCAAUGGGCAAUGUUUUUUUUUCUUUGAUCAUAUUUACAUAAUGAGUCUGUGGGCUAUAGAAGCAAGGCUAUCGUGCCCAGUAAACAUUUCAGCCCGGCAUGGCGGGUUCAUACAGACAUUUGUGUGCUGUCUUGGCUCUCUGUAUUUUUGUCCAGACUUGUGGCCAACAGACGUCGUGUGGAGCUGCAAACAAGACAAGUACAGUCGCUACCGUUUACGUCUUUAAUCAGCUGCGUUGGCAUGACCUUGUUGGGCUUAUUCCACGCUCUCAUGAUUGGAACUGGGUGGAUCGUCUUCAAGAAGUUGAUGGUCACCUAGAACAUGUCUUACUGAAAGGCAAAAGGCAGCUGGAACGUACAGGAGACCUUGUCUCCCUCGUCGACGGUAGUUGCUUGGCCAAUCCAUGUGAUGCGAAGGCCUCCUGUACAAAUACCCCCACUUCGGCUGCGAGCUGUUCCUGCAAAGCUGGCUAUACGGGUGAUGGUCUCAUCAGUGGAACCGGGUGUUCAGGUGUUAAGUUUGUAAAGUUCAUGUACAAGACCAGUAUGUGGUUAAUAUUGAUCUCUUUAAAAACACCUGAUUUUCUCACUUUAAAGGUCACUGUUAUCGAUAGAAACAAACUGUUUCAUGGUUUGUGUACAGGAUAAAGGCACAUAUAUUAACUAUUUUACAGCUUUUAUAUUGACCAAACUUGAUGCGAUGCAUUUCGAAACGUGUUCAUUUGUUCUAGAGCCCUUCAACUUUGAUAGAUUACCCACAAUGCCGAAUGUUUUUUUUUCAUGCACUUCAAACCGAGAAUGAUCUAGUUUCUAUAUCCGUUAUGCCUGUCUGUGUUUUUUGCAGUCAACAUAACCAAAGAACAUCUGUGAUGGUUAUGGUGAUGUUUAGAACGUAGGUAGGUGUUUGGAAGAAGAAGCUCCAUGUAAAUUUUAGGGCCCCUAGUAUGCUGUUUUGAUAUUACAAUAGAACGUCAGUUUUUAGUAUCUUUUGAAGUGAGCGUGCUAUGGUCUGGUUGUUUUGGUUUGUGGCAGAUAACGUGUAUUAGACGGAGGAAGUGGUGUAUAUUUGGGCCCUCUGUCAAGAUGUUCUGGAACUGCAGGUGUAGUUUUGUCGAAAUCUUCUAAGAAGAAUUUCUGAACAAAUUAUAGACGGAUUUCCAUGAUUUGGUAGGCAGGUAGCUUUGCCAAAAAAGAGCAUAAUGUAAACUAGAGUUCGUCGACCUUAUACCUUCAUGAAAUAUUUAGAACUUUGGCAAAUUUUCAUGCAAAUGGCUAGCACAUUUACUUGAUUUAUGCAAUGGUGAUGUUAAUCAUUGACUAACAUACACAUGUCACAAGUAUAAAAUUUCCAUCAUUAAUCAU